UAAUACGUAGGUGGCGAGCGUUAUCCGGAUUUAUUGGGCGUAAAGAGGGCGCAGGUGGCUUUUCAAGUCGGAUGUAAAAUCUCCCGGCUUAACCGGGAGGGAUCAUUCGAUACUGCUGGGCUAGAGUGCAGCAGAGGGAGGUGGAAUUCCCGGUGUAGUGGUGAAAUGCGUAGAUAUCGGGAGGAACACCAGUGGCGAAAGCGGCCUCCUGGGCUGUAACUGACGCUGAGGCCCGUAAGCGUGGGGAGCAAACAGGAUUAGAUACCCUGGUAGUCCACGCUGUAAACGAUGGAUACUAGGUAUGGGGGGUAUCGACCCCCUCUGUGCCGAAGCUAACGCUUUAAGUAUCCCGCCUGGGGACUACGGUCGCAAGACUA
This 377-nucleotide ribosomal RNA is filed under the name uncultured Chloroflexota bacterium. RNAcentral describes it as "bacterial SSU rRNA". It matches the Rfam family "Bacterial small subunit ribosomal RNA", at positions 521 to 896 of the family's 1533-position model. The record is from RNAcentral. Lineage: Bacteria; Bacillati; Chloroflexota.